AUACGUAGGUGGCAAGCGUUGUCCGGAAUUAUUGGGCGUAAAGCGCGCGCAGGCGGUCCUUUAAGUCUGAUGUGAAAGCCCACGGCUCAACCGUGGAGGGUCAUUGGAAACUGGGGGACUUGAGUGCAGAAGAGGAAAGUGGAAUUCCAAGUGUAGCGGUGAAAUGCGUAGUGAUUUGGAGGAACACCAGUGGCGAAGGCGACUUUCUGGUCUGUAACUGACGCUGAGGCGCAAAAGCGUGGAGAGCAAACAGGAUUAGAUACCCUGGUAGUCCACGCCGUAAACGAUGAGUGCUAAGUGUUAGGGGGUUUCCGCCCCUUAGUGCUGCAGCUAACGCAUUAAGCACUCCGCCUGGGGAGUACGGUCGCAAGACUGAAACUCAAAGGAAUCGACGGGG
RNAcentral lists this ribosomal RNA (397 nucleotides) under uncultured bacterium. RNAcentral's name for it is "partial 16S ribosomal RNA". It matches the Rfam family "Bacterial small subunit ribosomal RNA", at positions 523 to 918 of the family's 1533-position model. The record is from RNAcentral.